CAUCACUCAGAUAGCUAGCCAUGGAUCUAGACUCUAGAUCUAGACUAGAGCGUGUAGAAAUCUACCGAGAGCAACAAUCCCUAAUGCUAAAGAAGUGCGAUGUAACUGUUCAAGAUUGUCCAGUGUUUUUAAGGUUAAUCCUGAAACUCUUUAUCUUGAGGAAGACAUCACAAAUCAUCACAAAUCAUGUGGAAUUCCCCGUAGAUGGCCUAUUUACUUUUGGUGACUUUCCACUUGGUGGUAGGUUCAGAGUAAGUGGAGACACAGCCAUCCCUGACACAACCAUCCCUGCCGGCCCUGCUCAAAAGAAGAAUCGGCCAAGUUUCCAAGUACCAUUGGGAUUCCAAUCAUCCUGGUCAGAACAUGGCUGGACAAUCUACAUCGAAGGGGCCCAAGUCUUACGAACCCUGCUUCUAUUCGACAAUGCGGGGAUGAGUGAUGCAACCAUUUCCAACCUUUUCAUCAAGAUUCCUGAUAUUUCAGUGUCUCUUGACUCGAUCCUCUCUGAAGCUGGAACAAAGAUAGGCUGUGAUCCAAAUGAACUCAUUCUUCUUGAUGUGAAGUUCUUCCCGAUUUCUGAUGAGAAAGAGUAUUGGAAAGUACCCAGCCGAAAAUUCCUUGUUGCUGUGAGUUGCUGUGAGUUGCUGUGAGAGCUGAUUAUGAAGAGUUAGUAAAAGUUCGUUCAAGAAACCGACUAAGCUUGGGAAGAAAGAGAAAGCGCAAAAGUCAUGUAGUGCAUGUGGCCUAAAGGAGGUAAUGUUACUGUUAGUGAAAGUCCUGUUUAUUUCCAAAGAUCUCAUUAUUAUAAUGUCAAUUUUGGCUGCUGUGGUAGCUAAUUACUGUUAAAAAUGCUUACCUUGCUGUUGGAGACUCAGGAGUGACAUCAUUCUGUAUAGCUAAGGAUUACUACACAUUGUGCAAUAAACUCAAUUAUUUUCGUUAGCCACACCUGAUGCAUGGGUGUGGCAUGCCAGGCCAAGAGUUUCUAUAGGCUUCUAUAGUCAUGUUUUCCUGGAUUUGCAAAAUACGCCCAACCACGCACGUGGUUUUAAUCAUUGGUUUUAUGACUAUAUAGCUGCAAGACAGAAGACUUACAUAGACAAACAGUUCUUCCUUGUUAAAUCGGUAGUAGGGGAUGAUCAUUUGUAUGCUAGAACUUGGAUGGUGCCCUGUCUAGAGGACGCAUGCCUAUACAAUCCCUAGCAAAUGAUUGCCUGUUUGGAAACGAGAUUGCUCUAGCUGUCUCAGGAUUGCCUUUAUGAAAAUGGUUGCCAUUCCAUCAGGAAAACAAAGCCAUGGACCUGCUCAUGUAAAGCUGGAUAGUGUUGUUCAAACAUUACCUAUAGGGUCACCUUACCAAAUCAAAGUCAGCUUGUCAACAAAGGCCACUAUAAUUAUGUGGAGUCAUUCCUCCUGAAAAGAUAUUUAGUGCCAACCACCCCUAGCAUUAAGAUCAAUGCUGAAUGGUCCAGAGACUCUGAAGAGUUAGUGGAUUCAUGAAAAAUCAUGCAGUUAGUGAUAGCUUCUGCUGGUGACCCUUCUAGUGACCUUUCUGGUAAUAAACUACUGUUUGUGUUUUGUAAGGAUGGCCUUGUUGGUACUGUCCCAGUCUUUGAAGGGUGUUAGCACCUUUGCCUGAAGAUAGGGUAGCUUCAGCAUCCCACAGUAGUGCCCACCAACAUAGUAAUUUGUCUGGGUUAGUUCCUUUGCUACUUAGUCUCCCUGUGUACAAUAUGUGAUGGCUUCUCUAGAUGUUUAGAGAAAUUUGAGAAUAUGUAUAAUGGUGAUUGUUCAGUAGCUAUGCAAAGACUGUGUGCAGUUUUACAUUCCAUUUGUGUGUGUUGAAAAUGUGCUUAAAACUACUGUAUAUAUAUAUAUCAGUUCAUCGUGAGAUCAUCUAGACAGUGCUCCCUUGGGCUGGCAGACACAUCUCCAGUGCGUUGAAAUCUAUCAACAACAGUAGCCUCAGCAACAACAAUUUAUCUGCUGCUUCCUUAAGUUAUUUUAGGUUCCCCCAUUAUGGUUUUGCACAAUCAAUCAUGCAUUUACAAUUUGAAACUGUGAGCAUGCCCAGCUGACCAUUACUACCAGCUGACCAUUACUAUAUGUACACAUACCUGAGGUCAAUUAGUGGGAAAGUGUAAAUUUCAAGAGAUAUACCCCAACCUCUACACACACACACAAACUGCACAAAGUAACGUGACACACACUUAGCAUGACACACACUUAAUGAAGUAUUGUAAACUUAUUACUAGUAAAAAAUCUCUAACUCUAAUAACGUUUUUUAUAAUCGAACAAAGUUGUAGCGCACACUAAUAUGCAAUCUCUUCACAAAUGCACUCUUCACUCACUUUUAACGUAAUGUAUGCAUCAAUUGCAUGGGAAUUGCUCACGUUCAAUUGACAGGAUGUCACGUUACUUCGUGCACAGUUUUUGUGUAGACUCUUGGCGGUAAGAUGAUUUAAUGUUCUGUCAUUAUAUUAUAUUUAUUAUUCAUAGAUUAGAGAAAACAUUUUGGAGAUGAAGGCGACUAUACAAAUCAAAGAAGAAGACCGGAAGAUACGACAUGAAAUUGUGCAUUCCUUUGAGUGUGAAGAUGUGCUGACUGAUCCAAUCUUGAUGAUGUGUUGCAAACAGAUACUUGGAUGUCAGCAGAUCUGUUUAAGAAACAACGAUGUCAUUGUUCUGGGAUUGGAUAGCCUCUUAGCCACUCUCAGGAGUGUCCGUUCCAACUGAACAAUGUACAAACUGCCUCAUUUAUUAUUCAUAUAUUAUCCACGUUGUUCGUUUUUUCUCUCAUUACGUACCUCAUUCUUAUUCACAUUCACCUUCUUAUUCACCUAUCUUUUGCGAGUAGCUUUGUUUGCUUGUUCCAUCAUCCACUGAAGUUAUGACCAUUAUCUUGUACUUGUUCUUAUCGUAGAGCUAAAAGGCAAGCUUGACAAGUCAGCAAAUAAUGUAUGCUAACCUUACUGACAUGAUACGUACUUGAUAACUAACAGGCUAGCUACAUAGAAAAGUGAUCUUCCAAUAGGGCGUAUGCAUUACUACAAUUCCUAUUAUUAGACUUCCGGUCGAAGGGACAGAGCGUUAACUAGAACACAUUUUUGUAAUAAAUCUAAUGUAAAUGGUUCGUUUUUGCUGUGUUCCUAAUAGGUCUGAUAGAGAGUCUCACCUUUCCUAUUUUGGUUUUUCUCGAAAGAAUCUGUUGAUCAACAGCAACACCAAAAUCUGCAGUGAACACUUUGUCAACGCACAUAGCAGGCGUCUCUACUCAGAUGAGGUCCCCAGUUUGCUUCUACCAGUUGUUGUAAGGGCUAGAAAGGAACCAAGAGAGCAGAAGAAGGCUUAGAUGAAUUGGAAUUGGAACAAAAAGAUGUGUCAACACAAACGGAAGAGGUUGCGUUUAAGGUUU
Halichondria panicea is the source of this 3415-nucleotide long non-coding RNA. RefSeq lists it as uncharacterized. The record is from RefSeq and is a predicted model, not a curated record. The transcript is spliced from 3 exons. NCBI's taxonomy places the organism in Eukaryota, Metazoa, Porifera, Demospongiae, Suberitida, Halichondriidae.